This 492-nucleotide ribosomal RNA is filed under the name uncultured bacterium. RNAcentral's name for it is "partial 16S ribosomal RNA". It matches the Rfam family "Bacterial small subunit ribosomal RNA", at positions 29 to 507 of the family's 1533-position model. The record is from RNAcentral.
AGUGAACGCUGGCGGUAGGCCUAACACAUGCAAGUCGAACGGCAGCACAGUAAGCUCUUGCUCUUACGGGUGGCGAGUGGCGGACGGGUGAGGAAUACAUCGGCAUCUACUUUUUCGUGGGGGAUAACGUAGGGAAACUUACGCUAAUACCGCAUACGACCUACGGGUGAAAGCAGUGGAUCUUCGGACCUUGCGCGAUUGAAUGAGCCGAUGUCGGAUUAGCUAGUUGGCGGGGUAAAGGCCCACCAAGGCGACGAUCCGUAGCUGGUCUGAGAGGAUGAUCAGCCACACUGGAACUGAGACACGGUCCAGACUCCUACGGGAGGCAGCAGUGGGGAAUAUUGGACAAUGGGCGAAAGCCUGAUCCAGCCAUACCGCGUGGGUGAAGAAGGCCUUCGGGUUGUAAAGCCCUGUUGUUGGGAAAGAAAAGCAGCAGGUGAAUACCCCGCUGUUCUGACGGUACCCAAAGAAUAAGCACCGGCUAACUUCGUG